RNAcentral lists this ribosomal RNA (253 nucleotides) under uncultured bacterium. Its description in RNAcentral is "partial 16S ribosomal RNA". It matches the Rfam family "Bacterial small subunit ribosomal RNA", at positions 524 to 776 of the family's 1533-position model. The record is from RNAcentral.
UACGUAGGGGGCAAGCGUUGUCCGGAAUUAUUGGGCGUAAAGAGCGUGUAGGCGGUCCGGUAAGUCAGCUGUGAAAGUCAAGGGCUCAACCCUUGAAUGCCGGUUGAUACUGUCGGGCUAGAGUCCGGAAGAGGCGAGUGGAAUUCCGGGUGUAGCGGUGGAAUGCGUAGAGAUCCGGAAGAACACCAGUGGCGAAGGCGGUUAGCUGGGCAGUUGCUGACACUGAUGCGCGACAGCGUGGGGAGCAAACAGG